UCAAAUUACCCCAUGAGUUAAGGCUGAACCUCCUACGUAUCUGUGUGUUGGGUAACCACCACUAAACAUCUGAAUUUAUCCAAUGCUACCUCACCCAAAAAGCAUCAAGAUAAUUGACCAACCUAGAACUAUGGAUUUAGCAGCCUCUUUGUUCUGUAGAGUUUUUUUUAUUAUCUAUGUCUUGCCUGCUACUUAGAUUUAAUGGUAUGAUAGGGAAGGAUGCAUAAACAGACAACCCCUACAUGCACAACACCAGUCACUGCCUUGAACACACGUCCAGAAUUAAUGCCAAAGAUCGAUAAAUUUGACUCUUGAAUCAUAUGUUCUGAAACAACAGCCAAUUAUGUUGCUGGGAUAUGUCGUAGAAGUGUCGUAUCGGUGCAUGAUACUGCACUAGGGGUGAUAUGCCGGGAUACGCG
This 419-nucleotide long non-coding RNA is filed under the name Hordeum vulgare. RNAcentral's name for it is "long non-coding RNA (HVUL_LNC006691)". Lineage: Eukaryota; Viridiplantae; Streptophyta; Magnoliopsida; Poales; Poaceae. The record is from RNAcentral.